CAGUAGCCGCGGGAAUCUGGAGGGAGCUAGCGUUGUUCGGAAUUACUGGGCGUAAAGCGCACGUAGGCGGUUAUUCAAGUCAGAGGUGAAAGCCCGGGGCUCAACCCCGGAACUGCCUUUGAAACUAGAUGACUGGAAUCUUGGAGAGGUCAGUGGAAUUCCGAGUGUAGAGGUGAAAUUCGUAGAUAUUCGGAAGAACACCAGUGGUGAAGGCGACUGACUGGACAAGUAUUGACGCUGAGGUGCGAAAGCGUGGGGAGCAAACAGGAUUAGAUACCCCCGUAGUCCCUGUCUCUUAUAC
RNAcentral lists this ribosomal RNA (301 nucleotides) under uncultured bacterium. Its description in RNAcentral is "partial 16S ribosomal RNA". It matches the Rfam family "Bacterial small subunit ribosomal RNA", at positions 509 to 807 of the family's 1533-position model. The record is from RNAcentral.